GACUUACCAUUCCACAUGCCGCGGCGGCCGCGGCUGCUGCAGCAGCGCCCGGAUUGCCCGGCUGCCGCACAGCUUGUAAACGCUGAAGCAUCACAGCUCGAUUGAUUUGAUCCUGUUGCUGUUGCACCUGCUGCUGAUGCUGCUGCUGGGCAUGCUGUUGUACCGCCUGCUGCUGCUGUUGCUGGUGCUGUUGCUGCUGCUGCUGCUGCUGGUGAUGCUGUUGUACCGCCUGCUGUUGGGCAGCCACAGCAUGGGCAACAUGAGCUGCCUGCACCUGAGCGUUGACCACUG
This 291-nucleotide small RNA is filed under the name Drosophila guanche. Lineage: Eukaryota; Metazoa; Arthropoda; Insecta; Diptera; Drosophilidae. The record is from RNAcentral.